RNA transcript from Vespa crabro (European hornet), 2613 nucleotides. RefSeq lists it as uncharacterized. Lineage: Eukaryota; Metazoa; Arthropoda; Insecta; Hymenoptera; Vespidae. The transcript is spliced from 6 exons. The record is from RefSeq and is a predicted model, not a curated record.
GCUUCAACGCGAUUAUAUAUAAGCAUCGUUUUCUCGAUAUUUGCUCUCAAACGUUGUUUAAAAGCCAUCGACGAAAGACGUGCCGAAAUAAGAAAACAUAUCGUAAUUAUAUUAAUCAACAAGAGAAGAGAUCAGAAGGUCUCUAUAAUCUGCAAUUAUGCAAUUUUUAUCAAUACUGUAUACGAUUACGAUAUUGGCAUGGAGUACCGCAGAAUUUCUUAACGAUUCUCCGGCACACUUAGAAACCCAUAUUAGAUCGGACAAUGUUAAAGGAGGAACACGUUCAUUAAUAAGAUAUUUCAACGAUGAAGCUAAUUUCAAAAGACCUUAUAUAGAUCGUCGAACUGGAUUCGAUGGAAAAGUUCGAAAUAUCAAUAUCGGAUCGAACGAGGAUAUAUCAGGUAUUAGAGCUUAUGGUUUGCCGAAGAAGGAUUUAGAAGAUAAUGGUUUGAUCGAGAGAAUUAAUGUUGCCGAUUCCGAAAGAGGCGACGAACGUUCACGAAAUUCUCGAAUUGUAGAAGCAUACGGUAUGUCUAAAAAGCAAUUGGAUGACAAUGGUAAAAUCGAAAUAAUGCCACCUUUGGCCAUAUUAAAGAACGAUGAACAUAAUGUGGAUUCAUUGAGAAGAGUUUCAAGAUCGAUUUCUGAGGAACGUAAGGACGAAUUGAAAGAUCUCGAGACCCAAGAUGCGAAAGUGUUCAGGCCAUUAUUUGUCUAUAGACAACAAGUAGCGAGAAGGCAAAAGUCGAACGAACGAAAGUUCUAUGGUACACCACCACCGCACAGAUAUAGGUCGUGGGAAUAUCGAUAUCCUGUCUACUGAUUUGAUUACAUCGAACAAAAAAUGAAUUCUUUAUGAACAUGACAAAUGCAUGCAUACAUUUUGAUCGAAGAAGUCGAACAAAUUGCGAACAAAUUCUACCAAAUAUUAGAUACCUGAACUAGUUUUAUAAGAUUACAUUAGAAUUAAUAAUAUGGUUUAUAUUUGCUGGUGUAUCCAUUUUUAUAACAGCGGCAUUUUUAAUGGAAGAACUUUAUUUCAGCCGAAAUGACAGCAAGAAUUUAAAACCGUCGAAUGAAAAUUCUAAAAAGACGGAAUAAAUCGAACAUUAUACUACAUAGUUUAAUUCGUAUUUCAAUAAUGUUUUAAUGUUUUAUGAUAUCUAUGAUAUUAAUAGUCGCGGGAGUAGUAGGUGAAUCAGCUUGAAAAUAUAUUAAAUAUUUUGAUCAAAAAUAUUUUGAUCGGGGAUGAAAAUUUAAAUGAAAUUUCGACUUGAAUAUAUCAAUUAUUUAGAAAUCAAAAAUUUAGAAAAUUUUGAGAAAUAGAGAAAAUGUGUAUAUGAAUCAAUCUUCGAUAGGAGUGUAUGCAAUCAAAGAAAACUCGUUUUGAUAUCAGUGUUACAAUUCUUUUCGUUUAAAUUAUAUUUUCUUUUCUUUUAGCAUUGUAAUUGUUUCACACGGCACGUAGUUCCUCUAAAAAUAAUUCAUACUAAAUAAUUCAUUUUGAUAGUAUUGUCUCGCAAAGACAUAUGUGAAACAUUUAUGUGCAACUUUGAAGAUUUCUAUUAACCUUUCCUAUGCUAAUACUUCUACGAAUUAAAGCAAGGAAACUCGACGAUCGUAUAUAUGAACAAAGUUCAUUCAUUGAAAUGUAAAAGAUUUUUAAAUAUUUUCUUUACGUUUGUAACAUCGAUUCUGUAAAAAAAUUCAUUAUUUCAAACACUAUUUAAAUUCUUUUGUUAUUCCGUUAAAAAAGAAAGAUAAAUAAAUAAAAAAAUCAAAUGUAUUAACCAUCAUUUUUAAAUGACCUUGACAAAACCUGCUUAAAUUAUAUAUUUCUGACGUAGACAUAGAGUUUUUUCAUACUCAUUGUCAGUCGUUCGCUGACCAUUCUUGAGGAAUCACGAAAAGCAGACAAGAAAAUUAAGUAUCUCUCCUUGUAUUUGAAUUAUAGUACAUGUCUGAGAAUAUUUAACAUUUAUUUCAAAAAAUGCAAACUUUUAUCUUCGUGACGCUAAUUGUUCUGGGUGUAGCAACUGGUGAUUGGAGACAAUCCGAAUAUUCAUAGUGGACAGUUCCACAAGGUCAAACAUUUCGUAGGGGGCCUGUUAGAAACGUGUAUCAUCAAAAUGGAUUCUCUCAAUGGAAUCCUCAACAAUAUUAUUCAGAACAAAAUAUUAAUGUCCACGAAUCUUUUGCUAUUGCUGAAUGGAUCUGUAGAAAUCCAAAAACAGGUGACAUGUUAAUAAUAGUAUCAGAAACGAAAGACCAAAACAAAGAUCAAAAGGAAGAUCAAAGGAAAGAAUCUUUUCAUAAUUCCGAACAAGAUCAUAGUAGAUGGAAUCAAAGAAAUCCUACUUCUCAUACGAGCCAUAAGUUCGAAGAUAUUACAAAAGAAAAUGAUAUGAAAAAUCACGGAGGAGAAGGUCUUAUUGACGUAAGGAUCGGAGUAUAAUAUCUCAUGUGAAUCAUUGAAAAGCAUUCGGACAUUAUCAAAUUUUGAAAAUUUACAUGUUUGUAUCUAAAUUUGAUCGGAGAUAAAUAUAAGUAUAACAAGAUUGUAGAAAAAUAUUUUUGUUUUUAAAAUAAAUUGCAACUCACAUUAUAAACAUA